UCAGGCCUAACACAUGCAAGUCGUACGAGGUGCAAAUAAUUCACUUGUGAAUUGUUUAUUACUACAGUGGCGCACGGGUGAGUAACACGUAAGAACCUGCCUUUUGGAGGGGGAUAACAUAGGGAAACCUUUGCUAAUACCCCAUAAAGCUGAGGAGCUAAAUCGCAUUUGCGGCCAAGAGAGGGGCUUGCGCCUGAUUAGCUAGUUGGGGAGGUAAUGGCUUCCCAAGGCCACGAUCAGUAGUUGGUCUGAGAGGAUGAUCAGCCACACUGGGACUGAGACACGGCCCAGACUCCUACGGGAGGCAGCAGUGAGGAAUUUUCCGCAAUGGGCGAAAGCCUGACGGAGCAAUACCGCGUGAAGGAAGAAGGAUCGUGGUCUGUAAACUUCUUUUCUCAGAGAAGAAGAU
RNAcentral lists this ribosomal RNA (409 nucleotides) under uncultured bacterium. RNAcentral describes it as "bacterial SSU rRNA". It matches the Rfam family "Bacterial small subunit ribosomal RNA", at positions 42 to 452 of the family's 1533-position model. The record is from RNAcentral.